UACGUAGGGGGCGAGCGUUAUCCGGAUUCAUUGGGCGUAAAGCGCGCGUAGGCGGCCGCCUAAGCGGAACCUCUAACCCCGGGGCUCAACCUCGGGCCGGGUUCCGGACUGGGCGGCUCGAGUGCGGUAGAGGAGAGCGGAAUUCCCGGUGUAGCGGUGGAAUGCGCAGAUAUCAGGAGGAACAUCGGUGGCGAAAGCGCUUUACUGGACCAUUAUUGACGCUGAGGAACGAAAGCCAGGGGAGCAAAUGGG
RNAcentral lists this ribosomal RNA (252 nucleotides) under uncultured Adlercreutzia sp. RNAcentral's name for it is "partial 16S ribosomal RNA". It matches the Rfam family "Bacterial small subunit ribosomal RNA", at positions 524 to 776 of the family's 1533-position model. The record is from RNAcentral. Lineage: Bacteria; Bacillati; Actinomycetota; Coriobacteriia; Eggerthellales; Eggerthellaceae.